AACGAACGCUGGCGGCAGGCCUAACACAUGCAAGUCGAACGAGUAAGAGCCGUAGCAAUACGGAGUUCUGCUAGUGGCGCACGGGUGAGUAACGCGUGGGAACGUGCCUUGGAGUUCGGGAUAACAGUUGGAAACGACUGCUAAUACCGAAUAUUCCCUCAGGGGGAAAGAUUUAUCGCUCCAAGAUCGGCCCGCGUAAGAUUAGGUAGUUGGUGGGGUAAUGGCCUACCAAGCCUACGAUCUUUAGCUGGUCUGAGAGGACGACCAGCCACACUGGAACUGAGACACGGUCCAGACUCCUACGGGAGGCAGCAGUGGGAAUAUUGGACAAUGGGCGAAAGCCUGAUCCAGCCAUGCCGCGUGAAUGAUGAGGCCUUAGGGUUGUAAAUUCUUUUGCUAGGGGAAGAUAAUGACGGUACCCU
This 422-nucleotide ribosomal RNA is filed under the name uncultured bacterium. RNAcentral's name for it is "bacterial SSU rRNA". It matches the Rfam family "Bacterial small subunit ribosomal RNA", at positions 29 to 481 of the family's 1533-position model. The record is from RNAcentral.